RNAcentral lists this ribosomal RNA (253 nucleotides) under uncultured bacterium. Its description in RNAcentral is "partial 16S ribosomal RNA". It matches the Rfam family "Bacterial small subunit ribosomal RNA", at positions 524 to 776 of the family's 1533-position model. The record is from RNAcentral.
GACAGAGGGGGCAAGCGUUGCUCGGAAUUACUGGGCGUAAAGGGCGCGUAGGCGGGCUGGCAAGUCGGUCGUGAAAUACCUCGGCUCAACUGAGGAGCGUCGAUCGAAACUGCCGUUCUUGAGGGUUGCAGAGGAGACUGGAAUUCCCGGUGUAGCGGUGAAAUGUGUAGAGAUCGGGAGGAACACCGGUGGCGAAGGCGGGUCUCUGGGCAAUUCCUGACGCUGAGGCACGAAGGCCAGGGGAGCAAACGGG